Molecule: ribosomal RNA, 530 nt
Filed under: uncultured bacterium
Lineage: Bacteria
Description: bacterial SSU rRNA
Rfam family: Bacterial small subunit ribosomal RNA
Source: RNAcentral
UUGACAUACUAAGAACUUUCCAGAGAUGGAUUGGUGCCUUCGGGAACUUUAGAUACAGGUGCUGCAUGGCUGUCGUCAGCUCGUGUCGUGAGAUGUUGGGUUAAGUCCCGCAACGAGCGCAACCCUUUUCCUUAUUUGCCAGCGGGUCAUGCCGGGAACUUUAAGGAUACUGCCAGUGACAAACUGGAGGAAGGCGGGGAUGACGUCAAGUCAUCAUGGCCCUUACGGCCAGGGCUACACACGUGCUACAAUGGUCGGUACAAAGGGUUGCUACCUCGCGAGAGGAUGCUAAUCUCAAAAAGCCGAUCGUAGUCCGGAUCGCAGUCUGCAACUCGACUGCGUGAAGUCGGAAUCGCUAGUAAUCGCGGAUCAGAAUGCCGCGGUGAAUACGUUCCCGGGCCUUGUACACACCGCCCGUCACACCAUGGGAGUUUGUUGCACCAGAAGUAGGUAGUCUAACCGCAAGGAGGACGCUUACCACGGUGUGGCCGAUGACUGGGGUGAAGUCGUAACAAGGUAGGCGUAGAUGA